Molecule: long non-coding RNA, 9070 nt
Organism: Vespa velutina
Lineage: Eukaryota; Metazoa; Arthropoda; Insecta; Hymenoptera; Vespidae
Exons: 13
Source: RefSeq, a predicted model, not a curated record
AAAAAAAAAGAAAAAAAAAGAAAAAAGCUUGUUUAAUUUAAUCGCGGUUUGGUGCAACCACGCCUAUACUCUCCAAUGCCAUCUAACAAUUUCUUCUACAAAUACAAACUCGAUGAAGAAACAAUGGCGCUGUUCUUACUAAAAGUGUAAGGUUAAGAUACCUUAAUUUUAUAUUCAAAGUUUAUUUUAAAAGUAAAUUUAUAAAUAAGUUUAAUCCUAUGACAUUUUAAAGUGAUAUACUUUCGUUGUGUGUAACAAAUAUGUCGAGUUAAUACUAAUAUUUAAGAAAAUCAUUUGCAUAACCAUACUAUCUAUAUCUAUAGAUAAAUCAUAAAAUAAUAUUUUAUUCGUAAUGUAUUUGUUGCAAAUUAUUCGAUAUCAACAACAGGCUAUUUUUUCGCCAACUGCAAGAGAAUCGUUUCUAAGUAACCUGUUCAAAGGAGACUAGUUCAAUUCAAGAUAGACUUCAACUCUAUAUUUAAAAUAUCUAUUAAAGAGGAACACAAGAAACAAAAGAUUCUAUCAGACAUUUAUAAAGUUGUUUGGGAAAUAUUGGAAACAGAUGAAACUUAUAUAUUCAAGAUAAAUGUGAAAUAAGUGACAUACGAGACAAUUAAACAACAUAAUAAGAUAAGAGAGAAUAGUGAUGGUACCAUUCCAUCAUUUCCAUUUUAAUGGAAAUACUUUUUGGAGUAUCUGUAUCCAUAUAUUUGGCAGUUAUUGAUUUCUUUCUCACGCCCUAAUCGUCGCUCUGUUAAAUGUUUGGAUACCACAAUUUAUUGGGAAUAUUAUGAAUUCAGUAUAUUCAGGAAUAUAUUCAGGAAUAUCAUAAAAAUCAGUAUUGUCAAAGAUAUUCCAAGAUAAAGGAAAUGAUUCUAUAAGGAAUACUUUGGAAAUGCUUCUGAGCUCAACGUUUAUGUUGGCACAUAUGCAAGAACGUUUGCAGCAGAAAAUAGAGGAACAAUUGUAUUUUCUAAAGAAGUUGAACAUGCAUCUGAGUUAUAUGUGAAUGUAGACGAUUUGAUAUUGGUUUGUAUCAAGCAAGAAUAAAUUUGUUUUUAAGUGAUAUUCUGCUUUGUACAUUAUACUUUGCUGGUCAUUUAAUGUCAAUUGGGCAAUUAACGUGCGCCGAUCUUAUGGCAUUUUUGAUAGCAAUUCAAAUAGUUCAAAGAUCUCUCUCUCUCUUUCUCUCUCUCUCUUUCUCUCUCUCUCUCUCUUCCUCUCCCUCUCUUCCUCUUCGUCUCUCUUUCAGGGAAUAUAGAAUUUAAAAAUGUGAAAUUUAGCUAUUCAACUCGGCCAGAUCACAUUAUUUUGAAAAAUUUUAAUUUGAAUAUUCCCACUGAUAAAACAGUUGCUAUUGCAGGUUCUAAUGGAAAUGGUUAAUCAACCAUUGCCGAGUUGUUAUAACAGUAUGAUAUUUUAUAGGUAAGAUAUAAAUUUGUAUAAUAAUAUCAGAUUAUCCGUAAAAAUUUCUUUCGUUUUAUAACGAAAUAAUAUUAUAGAUGAACAACAUUUUAUGUCUUAUAUUAUAUUAUUGAAUUAUGUAUGAUCCAUUUUGUUUUAUUACCUUUCUCCAUCUCUCAGGAAGCCGCAUAAUGCUAUCUAUUCAGAAAUUCUGGGAUUCGCUAAUAUAUAAAUAUCAUUCUAGGUGUAUUUUUAUGUCAUUUAUUGUAUUAAAUUUUUUGUCGCGAAGAGAAUUUUUUUAAUGAAAGGAAUAAAUAGUAAUAUCUUCAAAAAUGAAUCUUUGGAUUCAUAUCACAUGUCGAAACACGAUUAAGGAAGUUGCUCUCUGUCAAUUGAUGCCGGAAUCCCUACUUCAGAGCGAUUGACGUAGCCGAUCUUUGUAAGAUUAUCAUGCACCAUCGUUCGCGCAAUGUUUAAGGUAUCCAGCAAUUCACAAAUCGCGGAUUUUUAACCAUGGCCUUGAUUAGUUCCGUAUACGUAGUGGAUAGGCAGUGGCUGCGUUCUUCAUCUUCCAGUUCCAAAACUCCUUAACCAACUGCGAACUGUCAAAAUCACAUCCAUGCAUGGUGUAAAUCUCAUUUGUGAUUUUAUGAUGUCAACGAGGAAAUAAUGAUGUCGAUAAUCAAUGUUUCUAUUGACAAAUGAAAUAUUAGAUCUCUUACAGGUACUAUAUUAGCGUAUAUAGAUCAAGAAUACAUGCUUUUUGCAACUAGUAUAAUAAGGAGAAUAAUAAAUAUGAAAAGCAAGAUGCGAUUGGUGAAAAGGCGAAUAAUAAUGUGUGAAUAAAAAUUUUAAUAUUUUACCAAAGUAUUUCAUUAUAUAUUAUGCAUCAUUUAAUAUACCAGAUAAUAAAAGCGACAAAAAAAGCUAAUGCUAAUGAAUUUAUUAUAAAAUUUUUAAAUGGUUAUGAAAUCCAUAUUGACGAGAGAAGUGGCCAAUUAUUUAUUAUGGUGAACAGAAACAGCCAUUACUAGAGCAUUAGUAAAGUAAUCGUCAAUUUUAAUAUUAAAAGAAGCAAGCGCAAUGGAUUAUGAAAGUAGAAGUGCUAUGAAUUAUAAAAGUAAAAGCGCAAUGGAUUCAGAAAGCGGUAGAAAAUAUAACCAGGGAUAGAAUAGUAUUAGUUAUUGAUCACAGACAAAGUAUUAUUCAAUCGAGUGAUAUUUUUGUUGGAUUUCAACAAGGUGUUACGUAGAGUUUAUGCAAAAAAAAAAUAUACGAAAUAGAUUUUGGAAGCUAAAACCAUUAAAUACGAUCAAAGAUAAAUAACAAGACUGAAACGUGAAAUUCAAAAUCAAUAAUGCAUUUUAAUAUUUUUUUAGAAAACUGUAAAAAAGUAUAAAACGUAAUAAAAGAAAUAUAAAAAAUAAUAAAGAAGUAAAAAAUAAUAACAAUAAAAUAAUAUAAUUACGAAUAAGUUCAGAUCGACAAAUAGAAGAUAAUAACAGAAAACAAGGAAACACGUUGCUAAUGUAAAAAUAGGGGAUCUCCCCGAUCGGUCAUGCAGCUACUUACUUUAAAGUUGGGAGAUCUCCCCAUUCGGUUGGCUAAAUGUUAAAUAUAAUUUAAACGUUAAUUUAAUAAUUGAAUGAUGCAAAUUUUCUUUAAAUUAAUUUAAAAAUCUAAAUUUUCAAUGUCAAAAUAAAUUGAAAUUUUUUUUUUUUCGAUAACUACGAUUAAAGUGACGAGUAAAAUAAAAACAUACAUGUUUAUUCCGUUAUUUUAGUCACUUUCGUAUUACAUUAGUCUUUUAUUAUUUAGAAUUUUCUUUUAGUCAUGAUAGUUAUUUAUAGUACUCGUACCAUAUUAUUAUGACAUAUAUCAUGAUAAUAACAAAUAUGGACACCAAUGCGAUCCAUGAGUUUUUGCAGCAUAGACCUUCCUCUCUGCUGCUCCCGGAUCUAUAAAGUCGGUACCACAAGCGAAUAUAAUGGAUGCUGAUAAUGAAAAAACAUGGUUUAAAUACCUGUCAGUUGCCGAAGAAGAUGUUUGCCCAAGCAUGGAAUGUUCACCGUUCGUCGUUGAUGUUUGGUCGGAUGAAUCGAAACUACCCGUCAUUGUAUUCAUUUCGAUUACGUAUGGCAUGCUUUUCGUUCACUUAGUACGAUUAGAUAAAAGAAUAAAUUUUCAAAGAUUGAUAUCUUCUAUAAUCGAAUUCUUUCAGAUCUCGCACUGACUGUUUGGCUGGAUGAAUUAGUUGGACACUGAUACUGAGAUGGAUGAACUUAGUUUGACGCGAAUUGCUCGAUGUAAAGUACUUACGAACGUCUGAUUCGUACGGCGUACUGCGAGCAAAUGACGAAAAGGGCAGGUCGUCAACGCAUCUCGCAAACGCAGUCGUCCUUCCCACGGGAAUGGUACCGUUGCGUCGAUUGGGGUAGGGGUAUCACUAGGUGGAUCAGAGUAGGGGUACGUGAUGGUGGGUGAAGCUUUCAGAGCUUGCCUUCUAUCUAUAGCUAGAAAUGUUCGUGAUAAAAAAAAAGUUUCUUUCCUGUGGUCGAACCAAUCCGUCGUUCCUUCAUUAUUCUCCAAUGGCUGGAAUACUUUCAUUUCGAGAAAAUUCACCUCAUCGUAUGUAUAAAUUACGAAUUAAAUCGUCCGUUUUUUACCGUUUUCUCUCUCCCCCUUUUCUUUUUUUUUUUUUUCUUUUUUUCUUCUUUUUUUCUUUUUUUUUUUCCCAAAGAUGAAAGGAUCACGUACGUAGAACUGUAUUAUAAUUUAAUGCAUUUCUAUAUAAUUAACAAUUAUAUAGAAAUAAUAAUUAAUAAUUAUUCUAAUAAUAAUUACAAUAUAUCAUUUUUAUACUAUAUAAUUUGUUUUUGUAAAAUCGUUUUUAAAAAUCUUUUUAUGGAGAUUUAUAUCCACUUUAAUGUCGCACGAUAUCAGAGAAUAUUGAUUAAGAACUCUUUCAUAACAUUGUCUUCUUUUGUUGUCAAAAGUAAAUAUUACAUAAAUCAACAAGCAUUUUUUCUUCUUUCUAAAGUAAAAGAGAAUGAAAAAUAUGAAUGCGGAGAAAUUUUUUUUUCAUAUUUAUUUUCCUUCGGAAUAUUAUCUUUUUUUCAUUUUAUUAUGAUAUGAGCGUAUCCAUAUUCCAUAGAUUAAUAAACGCUCCUGCUGUUUUAUUGAAUGUUCCCCCUAGCAAAGAGGAUUUUUUAAAAAGAAAUUAAUAUUUCUGUUUGUUUUCUCUCAUAAUAAAAGUAUCAUAAUAAAAGUUAAUAUUUACAUUUUUCGAUCAAAGAUUCACAAGACAUCGACCAAAAAUGUUACUUACCCAAAAGAUAUUUGUAUCUCCGAUUUCUUUUUUGUCAUAAUAAAAAUUAUGUUAUACGAGUAAUCAAAUACGAGAAUUAUCUGCUUUUCAUUUUUUUUUUCAAGUCCAUCAUUCCUACUAAAAUUUCAUUUUUAAGAGAGAAUAGUUACGAAUAAUCCCCUUCAUGGAAAAUAUACUUUUUAUCUAUCACAUUUACCGCAAUCCGAUAUAAUGUCAAGCUUUUAAUUUUCCAAAUUUUCGAGCAUUAUCAUCUAACACGGUUUGUUUUAAUAUCUGGAAUUAAACGAUAUUUUUUAUAUCAUUACAGCGGCGUUGACAUCAAAGCUUUGGCGUAAUUUCGAAUAUCAAAGAAGGAAAAUAGAAUAAUACGUAUUUACGCAUCUAUAUAUUUAUUUUUUGUGUUAUGAGUACAUAUUAAAAUGCGUAACGAUCAGGUUCACCGGAAUUAUACCAAUUAUACCGGAAUUAUAAACGGCUUCAAGAAUUUUUGAAGUGCUUCUUGAGAAUAUUAUAAAUCUACGUCCAGAAUUUAAAGACAAUGCAUUUCCUUUUCAAGCAUCGUACUUAUUUUGAAAUAAUACGAAGAAGAAGAAGAAGAAGAGAAAAUUUAUAAUGGCCAAUGACAACGUACUUUGACGAUAUAGGCUAAUACGGCGCAAUUUCAAGAAAAAUUCAAAUGGUGAAGCGAGAAAAUAGAAUACAUUCUUCAAAGGAUCGAAAGAUGGACAGCUUUAGUUAGAGGAUACGAUAGAUUUAGAAAAAAGAUGUAGAAAAGAUUAUCGAAGGGUCAUCAGAUGACGAUGCACGACGAUCAGCGUGUAUCAAGUUGUACUAUUACUUCGAACAAACUUAUCAUCGAGGAUUCUUCUUAGGGUCUUCUAUGCUCUCAAAGGAAGUCGAUUAAGUAGAUGUUGUAUCACAAUGAGGAAAUGUAGAACAAUUAUAAUGUUGACAGUGUUCUUGGAUAUCGAUUUAAUGAUAAUUUGGAUAGCAUUUUGUUAAAAAAAUUGUAAAUAUGAUCAUAGUAUUUAUUUCAAAAUCAUCGAUGGAAUUAUAAAUGAUACAAAAAAUCUUAGAAAAAUUAACGAUGAUUCUAAAAAGAGAAAAUUUGUUAAUCGAUGCUGAAGUAAAAGAAUUGAACAAUGAAGAUUCCAGAGAUAAAUUUAAUUCUAAUCAAAAGGAUGUUGGUGUCUGGCCUAUCAUCGAUUUUGCAAAUGUCGAUUUUUUUAUCGAAAAUAUCUAACACAGCGUAUCGACGAAGAUUAAAUGGAUGAUCAAUAAUAAUAAUAAUAAUAAUAAUAAUAAUAAUAAUAAUAAUAAUAUUAUUAUUAUUAUUAUUAUUAUUAUUAUUAUUAUUAUUAUUAUUAUUAUUAUUAUUAUGAAAAUGGUACGGAGAAUAGGAAUGAUUAUGAGAGUAGUAAGUUUAAUCAUGAAUUGAAAAAUGAGUUGAGAAAGAAUCAGAAUGAAACUAUGAAUUUAAAAAUGCUUAAAUCUGUGGGGACAAUUAAUUGAUUUAUUGUUUGGUAAGAUAAUAAUGUUUGUCCGGGAAUACUUUUAAAUGAUACGAAAAAUCUUCUGUCCACUGUAUUCGUUACCGUGUUAACAUUUAUUUAAUACGAAAUUCUAUAUUUCCAAACGUUUUUUCCAAUACUCAUCAUAUAUGUCAUACGAUAUCUGUUUCAUGGACUCUCUUUUUAAGAGAUAUACCAAAGAGAUAUACCAAAAGGAACGAAAUAGACGUCAGCAUAGAUCAAAUUUCUACUCAUCAAUUUUUAAAGGGAAUUAGAUUUCUACAUACAUAAUAUAUUUCAAAUUCUACAUACUGUCAUCCGUUUUUUCACAUCUCUUCAUUUGAUUUGUUUUAUCGUUCUUUCCUAUCGUGUCGUUGAAUAUGCAGGGAAACCGCGCUUGCGUUCUUCCGCGCCUGCGUCCCGCUUAGGAGCGCGCGGAAUUGUAUGCGCGUGUACAAAUAUUUCUCUUUCAGAAGAUUCUUAUGAAAUUUGGUUACUAAGAUAAACCUUUCCUCUUUUUUCUCCUCUCACCAAAUCAUAAUAUACAAUUUGACAAUAAAAUCAUAUUAUCGGCAUCAUUUAAUUACCUCUAAUUACUUCAUAUGUCAUUAAUUUUGUUCUUUUUAUUAUUACAUUUUUAUAAAAAUUUACGAUGGAUAUGGGUGUGGAGAAUGAUGAUCGAUACGAGAUAUAUAUAAAGGAGGAAAAAAAAAAAGAAAAAAGAAUUAUUGAUAACAUAUUAAUAUUUCUAAUGAUUUAAUGCGUAAUUUAUAUUUAGAUCUGAAAAAUAUCGUAAUAGUUAAACGGUCCGUGUUUUGGUAAAAAAAAUCAAGGAUGAAAGCUGAUGGCGUGAGGGCGAAGAAAGAGGGGAAAAAAAAACUUGGGCUUCAAAUUGAUCGUAACUUUCAUUUUUUUGAAAGAGGACAAAACAUGUUACAAGGAUACACGCUAUUCCUUUCCUGACCCAUCAUUAUACGUUAUAACAAGACAUAAUAGAAACAAAGUAAUCUGUUGUUUAACGGGAAAGAAUAAAGGAAGGAAUGGUUUUUUAAAAAAAUUUGCUAAAAGAUCCGAAGAAGAAGAAGAAAACGAUCAAGAGGAAAGAUGAACAUAACUUUCUUAGCGAUCGUAGCACUGUUGGAAUUCGAUGUUGAUGCUUCUAUUUAAUCCUUUAUGACCGAGUAUGUCGGCAAAUAGCCGUCCAAGUCUUGUUCCCGUCAUGGACGCGUGUCGGCAAAUAGCCACCCAAGGCUUUUUCUCGUCGUGAACGCGUGUCGGCAAAUAGCCACCUAAGUCUGUACAGUUACUGACACGUAUUUAAAAGCGGCUAACGUACGUCUUUCUUUCUGAGCGAUAAAAUACGCAUUGAGUAUGGUAAACUAAACGGUAUUACAUUUAUUUUGAAAGGAAAUUAGAGAUUUUGUUUUAGUUUUUAUAAUCAAUAUCUCUUGUUCUCAAGGAUAGUCUCGUCGAUCGAUGCCAGCCGCAAAAAAUAUUUAAACUUACCACAUGUCCAAAGGAUUGCACGGAGGGUUUGCACAAGAAUACCAUGAAAGCUUAUGAUCAGGAUCCAACGUGAAAAGAUCAAACGUCGAUACCAUUCAAUCUACCCUAAAUUUACAUUACUGCGGAGGCAAAGAGUGACUAUACAGCUUGGUUGUCCGUGAAUUUGCCCAAUAUUCUUACUGAUCCUAAUGACAUAUAUACCGAGUAGGUUUUUUUAGAAGCUUGUAUUAAGUACCAUUAAUAGCAAUGUCGGAUUACUGUUACGUUAUUUUCAGUAAUUGGUGUAUUUUAUGAAAAGGUACGAACAGUACAAACAGAUUCGUUAGAUCAAGAAUUGCUUAAAGUAGAAAAUUCAUUCGUAAAAUAUUGAUCCACCGAUGGUCGAUUUUGUACUGACAUCUACUGUUAUUAGCAGAUUUAAAAGAAAAUGAUGAUUCCAAUCAAAUGGCAAAAGAACCAAAUUUUAUUCCAUAAAACAUUUUCAAAUUCUAUUGAAGAAGAAUUAGUAAAGCUUUCUGAUUUCAAGGAGUUGAAAAAGAUUAUGUUGGAAAUAGAAAAAUAAAGUGGAGUACCUAGAAUAUUGACUGGUGUCAUAGGCUCUGUUGAAUCUGAUCCAGAAUAUCAAUUGAUCAUUGAAGCAAUUGAUAUAUCAGUUGAAGGAUCUAGAAAUAGUUCAUCCGCAAGCUGCAGAAGAAAAAGUAAAUGAAAUCAAUGUUAAAUACUUAUCAAAUAAUUUAUUCAAAAUAAAUCUUAAUGGAAAUUUCUGUUAUAUGUAUAUAUAUAUAAACUUUAUUAGAUUUAAAAAUAUUAUUAUUUAACAUUUAAACAAAAACUUGAUAUUCUUUUAUCUCUGACACUGUAUCAUGUAAGCGCAAAUACUGUCAAGUAAUUUAUUUAUGUCUUUUUAGGCAAUCUAAUAAUAAAUGAAGCAAUAAAAGUUUCAGACUGAUUCACUUUAGUGUGCGUGUUUGCUUGCUUGUGUGCGUGUGUGUGAGAGAGAGUACACAUUUUUUUUCAGGAAAAAGCAUGCAUACAAUAGAAUUCUUGAUUGCCAUCCGAAUACAUUGACUUUUUUACAUGAAGUCACAAUUAGUAACUCACAAUGGUAGGCGAUUGCAACAUCUUUAAAAAAAUAAAAAUAUCUUAAGUAACAAUAUUUCGUGAAUCAUUAUAUAAUAUCGAACAUACUUUUUUAGAGAUGGGUAGAGAUAUGCGGCAGUAAAAAAAAGAAAUACAAAAUAAAUUUAACUUUGAUUUUGGUAUAUUCGGGAACGUUACAUAUCGUUAAUAUAAAUGAAAUAAUAAUAAUAAUUGUUAUUAU